GUGGGAAUGGUGCAGAAUCCGGCAGUAACAUGGGGAGCUGGGGCAGGAACUGAAAAUGGAACCAAGGACAAGUAAAACUGGAUCCCUGUCCAAUUUUCUACCAUCAUUCCUGGAGAAACGAGUGCACAAUGCCUGGAAGAUAGCUCAGGCUGGGGGUGACACACCAAUGAUGCAGCAGUGAGCGCUGGUGAGGAAGCAGCGAUGCAGGUUGCC
This is a long non-coding RNA of Carcharodon carcharias (great white shark), 213 nucleotides long. RefSeq lists it as uncharacterized. Lineage: Eukaryota; Metazoa; Chordata; Chondrichthyes; Lamniformes; Lamnidae. The transcript has 3 exons. The record is from RefSeq and is a predicted model, not a curated record.